GACGAACGCUGGCGGCGUGCUUAACACAUGCAAGUCGAACGGAAAGGCCCUGCUUUUGUGGGGUGCUCGAGUGGCGAACGGGUGAGUAACACGUGAGUAACCUGCCCUUGACUUUGGGAUAACUUCAGGAAACUGGGGCUAAUACCGGAUAGGAGCUCCUGCUGCAUGGUGGGGGUUGGAAAGUUUCGGCGGUUGGGGAUGGACUCGCGGCUUAUCAGCUUGUUGGUGGGGUAGUGGCUUACCAAGGCUUUGACGGGUAGCCGGCCUGAGAGGGUGACCGGCCACAUUGGGACUGAGAUACGGCCCAGCCUCCUACGGGAGGCAGCAGUGGGGAAUAUUGCACAAUGGGCGGAAGACUGAUGCAGCAACGCCGCGUGCGGGAUGACGGCCUUCGGGUUGUAAACCGCUUUCGCCUGUGACGAAGCGUGAGUGACGGUAAUGGGUAAAGAAGCACCGGCUAACUACGUG
This 468-nucleotide ribosomal RNA is filed under the name uncultured bacterium. RNAcentral describes it as "partial 16S ribosomal RNA". It matches the Rfam family "Bacterial small subunit ribosomal RNA", at positions 28 to 507 of the family's 1533-position model. The record is from RNAcentral.